CCUACGGGUGGCAGCAGUAGGGAAUAUUGCUCAAUGGUGGAAACCCUGAAGCAGCCACGCCGCGUGGAGGAUGAAGGUUUUAGGAUUGUAAACUCCUUUUUUUAGAGAAGAUAAUGACGGUAUCUCACGAAUAAGCACCGGCUAACUCCGUGCCAGCAGCCGCGGUAAUACGGAGGGUGCAAGCGUUAUUCGGAAUCACUGGGCGUAAAGAGUGCGCAUGCGGGUUUGUAAGUCAGAGGUGAAAUCCUGUAGCUUAAAUACAGAACUGAAUUUGAAACUAUGAGUCUAGAGUGUGGGAGAGGUAGGUGGAAUGCUUGGUGUAGGGGUAAAAUCAGUAGAUAUCAAGAGGAAUACUCAUUGCGAAGGCGACCUACUGGAACAUUACUGACGCGCAUGCACGAAAGCGUGGGGAGCAAACAGGAUUAGAUACCCCAGUAGUC
RNAcentral lists this ribosomal RNA (440 nucleotides) under uncultured bacterium. RNAcentral describes it as "partial 16S ribosomal RNA". It matches the Rfam family "Bacterial small subunit ribosomal RNA", at positions 338 to 795 of the family's 1533-position model. The record is from RNAcentral.